RNAcentral lists this long non-coding RNA (203 nucleotides) under Phoenix dactylifera (date palm). RNAcentral describes it as "long non-coding RNA (PDAC_LNC018552)". Lineage: Eukaryota; Viridiplantae; Streptophyta; Magnoliopsida; Arecales; Arecaceae. The record is from RNAcentral.
AUGUCUUAUGUAUGCUCGAUGCAGAGGAUGAUUGAUCUCACAAUCAUUUGUGUGGAGACACUAAUACAAAGAUGUGGGUGCUCAUUAGAGGAAUGAGUUCACUGAAUUGACCUACAAGGAGAAAUCUUAUGAAGUCUUACUUACAUGUCAAAAGAUGAUUCUCUUAGUGGAAGUUGUGCAACUGAUCCUAUGACCUGAGAUCA